Molecule: ribosomal RNA, 320 nt
Filed under: uncultured eukaryote
Lineage: Eukaryota
Description: partial 18S ribosomal RNA
Rfam family: Eukaryotic small subunit ribosomal RNA
Source: RNAcentral
CCCCUAGAUGUUCUGGGCCGCACGCGCGCUACACUGAACAGUUCAACAAGUCUUAACCUUGGCCGAUAGGUCUGGGUAAUCUUUGAACGCUGUUCGUGAUUGGGGUAGACCUUUGCAAUUAUGGGUCUUCAACGAGGAAUUCCUAGUAAACGCAAGUCAUCAGCUUGCAUUGAUUACGUCCCUGCCCUUUGUACACACCGCCCGUCGCACCUACCGAUUGAAUGGUCCGGUGAAAUCUCGGGACGGCGGCUUGGUCGCUUGCGUCCGACUGCUGAAACUUGAUUAAACCAUNUNAUUUAUNGGAAGGUGAANUCGUANCA